AACGAACGCUGGCGGCAGGCCUAACACAUGCAAGUCGAACGAUCCUUUCGGGGAUAGUGGCGGACGGGUUAGUAACGCGUGGGAAUAUGCCCCUGGGUACGGAACAACAGCUGGAAACGGCUGCUAAUACCGUAUGAUGUCUACGGACCAAAGAUUUAUCGCCCAGGGAUUAGCCCGCGUUGGAUUAGGUAGUUGGAGGGGUAAUGGCCCACCAAGCCUACGAUCCAUAGCUGGUUUGAGAGGAUGAUCAGCAACACUGGGACUGAGACACGGCCCAG
This 278-nucleotide ribosomal RNA is filed under the name uncultured bacterium. RNAcentral describes it as "partial 16S ribosomal RNA". It matches the Rfam family "Bacterial small subunit ribosomal RNA", at positions 29 to 334 of the family's 1533-position model. The record is from RNAcentral.